RNAcentral lists this ribosomal RNA (632 nucleotides) under uncultured bacterium. Its description in RNAcentral is "bacterial SSU rRNA". It matches the Rfam family "Bacterial small subunit ribosomal RNA", at positions 1 to 632 of the family's 1533-position model. The record is from RNAcentral.
CCCUUAGAGUUUGAUCCUGGCUCAGAUUGAACGCUGGCGGCAUGCCUUACACAUGCAAGUCGAACGGUAACAGGCCUUCGGGUGCUGACGAGUGGCGAACGGGUGAGUAAUACAUCGGAACGUACCCAGUAGCGGGGGAUAACACAUCGAAAGAUGUGCUAAUACCGCAUACGCCCUAAGGGGGAAAGCGGGGGAUCUUCGGACCUCGCACUAUUGGAGCGGCCGAUGCCGGAUUAGCUAGUUGGUGAGGUAAAGGCUCACCAAGGCGACGAUCCGUAGCUGGUCUGAGAGGACGACCAGCCACACUGGGACUGAGACACGGCCCAGACUCCUACGGGAGGCAGCAGUGGGGAAUUUUGGACAAUGGGGGCAACCCCGAUCCAGCAAUGCCGCGUGUGUGAAGAAGGCCUUCGGGUUGUAAAGCACUUUUGUCAGGGAAGAAACGGUUCUGGUUAAUACCUGGAACUAAUGACGGUACCUGAAGAAUAAGCACCGGCUAACUACGUGCCAGCAGCCGCGGUAAUACGUAGGGUGCAAGCGUUAAUCGGAAUUACUGGGCGUAAAGCGUGCGCAGGCGGUUCUGUAAGUCAGAUGUGAAAUCCCCGGGCUCAACCUGGGAACUGCAUUUGAAA